Alligator mississippiensis (American alligator) is the source of this 119-nucleotide ribosomal RNA. The record is from Rfam. Lineage: Eukaryota; Metazoa; Chordata; Crocodylia; Alligatoridae.
ACUUAUGGCCAUACCACCCUGAACAUGCCUGAUCUUGUCUGAUCUCAGAAGCUAAGCAGGGUUGGGCCUGGUUAGUAUUUGGACAGGAAACUGCCCGGGAAUACCCAGUGCUGUAGGAU